Daphnia pulex (common water flea) is the source of this 1904-nucleotide long non-coding RNA. RefSeq lists it as uncharacterized. Lineage: Eukaryota; Metazoa; Arthropoda; Branchiopoda; Diplostraca; Daphniidae. The record is from RefSeq and is a predicted model, not a curated record. The transcript has 7 exons.
GUUGUUGAUACUUUGUGAAUUUCUAGUGACUCUUUUUUUUUUUGUUCAAUGUUUAAAUUUUUUAUGUGAUAUUUACAAAAUAAUUCAGCAUUGCAAUUGAAAGUUAAUUUUUAUUACUCACUAAUGGUGUGUCGUAAUGGUACUAAAAACCAUUUUUGAUUUCUCAUUUUCAGUAUAUCUAGAAUUUCUUUUAAGUUAAGUGUUACAUCAAGUGGGUUAAAAAAUAACUUACACUCAUUUAAAUUCACAUUAUACUCUCCUCCAGUUUCCCUUAUUUUAGUUGCAACAAAAUGGAAAUAUUUAGCUGAUUCAUAGGGAGUUCGAAAGGCAGGAUACACCUGAUCAAACUUUGGGCCAAAUAUUUUGAAAAUGUUUCUGCCCUGAGGAUCUUGUGAGAUAUCGUCAACAACAACAACAGCAUUAUUUCUCAUCAAGACAACAUUAUUUGGGAAACGGUUAGUCAAUUUAAAAUUUGGGAAAGUAAUUUAUUUCAUUUCAUCUUCACUCUUAAGGUUAUUGUGUUCGACCACAAUUUUUGUCGAUUCAAUUUUUCAUAUUUCCCACUUUUUAAUUUGGAUAUCAAAUUCCAUUUUGUUAUUGAUUAUGGAGCCGUCAGACAGAAAAAAAUGUUUGGUGUGGGCAAGCGAAAGAAAAUUCCAAGCUCAAAAUUGCAAGAUGCAGCAGCUUUGGUUGUUGUGAAACCGAGAAGAGGUAAACCACAAAAAGUGACAAAUACUACGACUGAGAAUGAAGGAAACAAUCAGCCAUCUUAUUCCAUCGUUCAUCGUAUUGACAGUGGGUCACCUUCUGUCGGCCGGAAUCAUUUUCCGACUGGGAAUGCAGGAAGCAAUUUUCCAAAUGUCCCUUUCGUUCGUCAGCCUGACACUGUCCUCACUAAUAUUCCGACUGCGAAUGCAGGAAACGAUUCGCCAUUUUUCCCUUUCGUUCAUCCAACCAACUGAUUGUAGCCACCUUCUGCCGCGAAUAACAAUCCAACUGGGAAUGAAGGAAACAAUUUGCCAUUUGUCACUUUUUUCGUUCGUCUGACAUUGGGCAACUGUCCUCACUAAUAUUCCGACUGGGAAUGUAGGAAACAAUUUGCCAUGUUUUCCAUCCGUUCAUCCGACUGACAGAUUGUGGGCAUCUUAUGCCCGAAUAAUACUCCGACUUGAAAUGUAAUUGCCAAUAUCUGGUCAAAGGCAAACAACAUCCCGAAACAAGACGUCCAGGAUUUCAUUGAUCGCUGCAAGAGAAUCAGAAAACAAGACUCAUACACACACAGAGGCAACACCAAGCAGCAUGUUGUGUCAUCUGAAAGAACCAAUGCGCCUCGUCAAUUGAAAGACGAUAUUCAAGUAUUACUGGAAAAAAAAGUUGCUCAUCUUGAAAAGUUGAUAGAAAAGUUUGACAAGUAAUCGUUUAAACCAAGUUAGUAUAAUUAUUAUCGUACUGUUCUAUCGUUUGAACGAUUACUUGUCAUUAUUUUCUAUCAACUUUUCAAGAUAAGAUAUUGAUUGGCUAAAUUCUAGACACCAGACAGGAGAUAGGGACCUCUUAUGAAAAUCGUUUCGAAUUCCAGAAAACAAAUUGCAAAAGUUGCCACUACCAGAAAUGCAUGGAAAUUGGAAUGAAGAAAGAAAUUAAGAAAGAAAAGAAGAAGUAUAAAGAAGGAAAGAAGAAAAGAAAAACCGAAAGUGUGACGAAUGUUCCUUGCUUAAGAAUGAAGAAAUUACAUUCGCCACAAGACAAUGUCUAUUACGCCAUAGAAAAACAUGUCAUGAGCAAAUAAAAUACAAAUGCAAAGUCCUCGGAUGCACCAGAGUCUUUAGCAACUUAGGAACUUGUUCAAGACAUUCCAACAAUCCUCACCCUCACGUACAUGAUCCAUGUCGUAAGCAAACCAA